GGAAGGGGUGUAUUUAUUAGAUAAAAAACCAACGCCCUUCGGGGCUUCUUGGUGAUUCAUGAUAACUUCACGGAUCGCAUGGCCUUGCGCCGGCGACGGUUCAUUCAAAUUUCUGCCCUAUCAACUUUCGAUGGUAAGGUAUUGGCUUACCAUGGUUUCAACGGGUAACGGGGAAUUAGGGUUCGAUUCCGGAGAGGGAGCCUGAGAAACGGCUACCACAUCCAAGGAAGGCAGCAGGCGCGCAAAUUACCCAAUCCCGACACGGGGAGGUAGUGACAAUAAAUACUGAUACAGGGCUCUUUUGGGUCUUGUAAUUGGAAUGAGUACAAUUUAAACCUCUUAACGAGGAACAAUUGGAGGGCAAGUCUGGUGCCAGCAGCCGCGGUAAUUCCAGCUCCAAUAGCGUAUAUUAAAGUUGUUGCAGUUAAAAAGCUCGUAGUUGAAACUUGGGCCUGGCUGGCAGGUCCGCCUCACCGCGUGUACUUGUCCGGCCGGGCCUUUCCUUCUAGAGAACCUCAUGCCCUUCACUGGGUGUGCUGGGGAACUAGGACUUUUAC
RNAcentral lists this ribosomal RNA (557 nucleotides) under uncultured fungus. RNAcentral describes it as "SSU rRNA". It matches the Rfam family "Eukaryotic small subunit ribosomal RNA", at positions 194 to 755 of the family's 1831-position model. The record is from RNAcentral. Lineage: Eukaryota; Fungi.